AUGAUGAUGUCGGUCUUUUUACUGCUGGUGAUGCUGGGACUCUUUGCUCAGGAAUCAAUGGCAGAUAUAGUGCUGACUCAGGAUCCAGCAGCUCAGUCUAUUCAGCUGGGAGGCACUGUCUCUAUCAGCUGUACAGCCAGUCAGAGUGUUUACAGCAAUGACCGUCUCAGCUGGUACCAGCAGAAACCUGGUCAGGCUCCUAAACUUCUGAUUUAUUGGGCCACAAGUCGCCAGUCUGGGAUUCCUGAUCGUUUCAGUGGGACUGGAUCUGGGACUCAGUUCACACUGAAAAUCACUGGAGUCCAGGCUGAAGACGCAGGAGAUUAUUACUGUCAGAGUUUACAUCUGAUCAGUGGUAGCUGGGUGUUCACACAGUGUUAGAGAGCUGUACAAAAACCUCCUUCAAUCAGACUGCACAGGGACUGCACUGCUGCAGCUGGGACCUACUGCAGGUGCUGAGGGGGAGGCACUGAUCUGGGACAUAUUGCCAGUGUACCAGUAGGGGGCGACAAUGAGCUUCUGCCCUAAAUGUAUGCCUCUCUGUACUGAAGAGGAGCUACUCUGUGUCAUACACAGAAUCCAUAGCAGAGCUGCUGCUGAACCACACACACUACUGUACCUCAGCAUCACAGGAAACAUGUCGUAUUUCAGCUCACAAGGAGCAAUGAUCACCUGGAGUUCACCCUAAGCUGAGGAUGUGUACUUUCUCCUAGAGGAGGAAUGAGUGGGAUUUCAAAUGAACUGCUGUCUGAAGGGUAUUUUAAGUUGAAUACAUACAUCAGUGUUUAUGUAAUUAAAGGUGUUUUUGUUCAGAUGGUAUCCUGGUGACAGCUCAGCCACAAUGAACUGAAUCGCAGAAUUUAUUAUUUUCUGCAACAGUAUUUCUUUAAUUGGCACGAUCAUCUUUUGUUUUUAAGUUUCAAAUUUUCUCGUUAGUUAUUCAAUUUAAACGCAACUUUGCAUGAUACAGCAUGGAUAGACUUCCAUAACAAGCUCCCAUAUUAUUAAAUUUGAUCAUUUUAAACUCAACGGAUAUCAAUGCAUUCAUUUUGAAUUGAUAUCCCUUGAGCUUAAUGUAUUCAAUUGCACAGGCAUCCAUUAUAUUUCAGGCAUGGGGUCAGUACUGGGUUAGUAUUAUCAAAACCUGUUUGUGGUUGCUGAAUAAAUGCAUCAUUGUGUA
Non-coding RNA from Anguilla anguilla (European eel), 1180 nucleotides. The record is from the annotation of a RefSeq genome assembly. Lineage: Eukaryota; Metazoa; Chordata; Actinopteri; Anguilliformes; Anguillidae.